This 62-nucleotide transfer RNA is filed under the name Nephus sp. 1 EL-2020. RNAcentral's name for it is "tRNA-Leu". Lineage: Eukaryota; Metazoa; Arthropoda; Insecta; Coleoptera; Coccinellidae. The record is from RNAcentral.
AUUAUUUUGGCAGAAAAGUGCGAUAGAUUUAGAAUCUUUUAAUGUAAAUUUUACAGAUAAUA